Long non-coding RNA from Ictalurus punctatus (channel catfish), 1255 nucleotides. The record is from Ensembl. NCBI's taxonomy places the organism in Eukaryota, Metazoa, Chordata, Actinopteri, Siluriformes, Ictaluridae.
CUCAAAAUAACUCAACACACAGCCAUUAAUGUCUAAACCGCUGGCAACAAAAGUGAGUACAUCCCUAAGUGAAAAUGUCCAGAUUGGGCCCAAUUAGCCAUUUUCCCUCCCCGAUGUCAUGUGACUUGUUUGUGUUACAAGGUCUCAGGUGUAAAUGGGGAGCAGGUGUGUUAAAUUUGGUGUCAUCGCUCUCACACUCCCUCAUACUGGUCACUGGAAGUUCAACAUGGCACCUCAUGGCAAAGAACUCUCUGAGGAUCUGAAAAAAAGAAUUGUUGCUCUACAUAAAAGAUGGCCUAGGCUAUAAGAAGAUUGCCAAGACCCUGACACGGAGCUGCAGCACGGUGGCCAAGACCAUACAGCGGUUUAACAGGACAGGUACCACUCAGAACAGGCUUCGCCAUGGUCGACCAAAGAAGUUGAGUGCACGUGCUCAGCGUCAUAUCCAGAGGUUGUCUUUGGGAAAUAGACGUAUGAGUCCUGCCAACAUUGCUGCAGAGAUUGAAAGGGUGGGGGGUCAGCCUGUGAGUGCUCAGACCAUACGCUGCACACUGCAUCAAAUUGGUCUGCAUGGCUGUCGUCCCAGAAGGAAGCUUCUUCUAAACAUGAUGCACAAGAAAGCCUGCAAACAGUUUGCUCAAGACUAGGAGACUAAAGACAUGGAUUACUGGAACCAUGUCCUGUGGUCUGAUGAGACCAAGAUGGUGUCAAGCAUGUGUGGUGGCAACCAGGUGAGGAGUACAAAGACAAGUGUGUCUCGACUACAGUCAAGCAUGGUGGUGGGAGUGUCAAGGUCUGGAGCUGCAUGAGUGCUGCCGGCACUGGGGAACUACAAUUUAUUGAGGGAACCAUGAAUGCCAAUAUGUAUUGUGACAUACUGAAGCAGAGCAUGAUCAGUAUGCAGUAUUCCAGCAUGAUAAAGACCACUGCCUUGCUAAAGAAGCUGAGGGUGAAGGUGAUGGACUGGCCUAGCAUGUCUCCAGACCUAAACCCUAUUGAGCAUCUGUGAGGCAUCCUCAAAUGGAAGGUGGAGGAGCACAAGGUCUCUAACAUACACCAGCUCCGUGAUGUCAUCAUAGAGGAGUGGAAGAGGACCCCCGUGGCAACCUGUGAAGCGCUGGUGAACUCCAUGCCCAAGAGGGUUAAGGCAGUGCUGGAAAAUAAUGGUGGCCACACAAAAUAUUGACACUUCGGGCCCAAUUUGGACAUUUUCACUUAGGGGUGUACUCACUUUUGUUGCCAGCGGUUUAGACAU